This 502-nucleotide ribosomal RNA is filed under the name uncultured bacterium. RNAcentral's name for it is "partial 16S ribosomal RNA". It matches the Rfam family "Bacterial small subunit ribosomal RNA", at positions 28 to 507 of the family's 1533-position model. The record is from RNAcentral.
GACGAACGCUGGCGGCGUGCCUAAUACAUGCAAGUCGAACGAACCGCGACUAGGUGCUUGCACUUGGUCAAGGUGAGUGGCGAACGGGUGAGUAACACGUGGGUAACCUACCUCAUAGUGGGGGAUAACAGUCGGAAACGACUGCUAAUACCGCAUAGGACAUAGGAUCACAUGAUUCUGUGAGGAAAGGUGGCGCAAGCUAUCGCUAAGAGAUGGACCCGCGGUGCAUUAGCUAGUUGGUAGGGUAAAGGCCUACCAAGGCGAUGAUGCAUAGCCGACCUGAGAGGGUGAUCGGCCACAUUGGGACUGAGACACGGCCCAAACUCCUACGGGAGGCAGCAGUAGGGAAUCUUCCGCAAAGGACGCAAGUCUGACGGAGCAACGCCGCGUGAGUGAAGAAGGUCUUCGGAUCGUAAAGCUCUGUUGUUAGAGAAGAACAGCGCAUAGAGUAACUGUUAUGCGUGUGACGGUAUCAAACCAGAAAGCCACGGCUAACUACGUG